CAGGCCUAACACAUGCAAGUCGAGCGGACUUAUCCUUCGGGAUAGGUUAGCGGCGGACGGGUGAGUAACACGUAGGCAACCUGCCUGUAAGAUCGGGAUAACUACCGGAAACGGUAGCUAAGGCCGGAUAGCUGGUUUCUCCGCAUGGGGGAAUCAUGAAACAUGGGGCAACCUAUGGCUUACGGAUGGGCCUGCGGCGCAUUAGCUAGUUGGUGGGGUAAUGGCCCACCAAGGCGACGAUGCGUAGCCGACCUGAGAGGGUGAUCGGCCACACUGGGACUGAGACACGGCCCAGACUCCUACGGGAGGCAGCAGUAGGGAAUCUUCCGCAAUGGGCGCAAGCCUGACGGAGCAACGCCGCGUGAGUGAUGAAGGUUUUCGGAUCGUAAAGCUCUGUUGCCAAGGAAGAACGCCUCGGAGAGUAACUGCUCUGAGGGUGACGGUACUUGAGAAGAAAGCCCCGGCUAACUACGUGCCAGCAGCCGCGGUAAUACGUAGGGGGCAAGCGUUGUCCGGAAUUAUUGGGCGUAAAGCGCGCGCAGGCGGUCUUUUAAGUUUGGUGUUUAAGCCCGGGGCUCAACCCCGGUUCGCACUGAAAACUGGGAGACUUGAGUGCAGGAGAGGAAAGCGGAAUUCCACGUGUAGCGGUGAAAUGCGUAGAGAUGUGGAGGAACACCAGUGGCGAAGGCGGCUUUCUGGACUGUAACUGACGCUGAGGCGCGAAAGCGUGGGGAGCAAACAGGAUUAGAU
RNAcentral lists this ribosomal RNA (750 nucleotides) under uncultured bacterium. RNAcentral describes it as "bacterial SSU rRNA". It matches the Rfam family "Bacterial small subunit ribosomal RNA", at positions 43 to 783 of the family's 1533-position model. The record is from RNAcentral.